UCUCCGUAGGUGAACCUGCGGAGGGAUCAUUACACAAAUAUGAAGGCGGGCUGGAACCUCUCGGGGUUACAGCCUUGCUGAAUUAUUCACCCUUGUCUUUUGCGUACUUCUUGUUUCCUUGGUGGGUUCGCCCACCACUAGGACAAACAUAAACCUUUUGUAAUUGCAAUCAGCGUCAGUAACAAAUUAAUAAUUACAACUUUCAACAACGGAUCUCUUGGUUCUGGCAUCGAUGAAGAACGCAGCGAAAUGCGAUAAGUAGUGUGAAUUGCAGAAUUCAGUGAAUCAUCGAAUCUUUGAACGCACAUUGCGCCCUUUGGUAUUCCAAAGGGCAUGCCUGUUCGAGCGUCAUUUGUACCCUCAAGCUUUGCUUGGUGUUGGGCGUCUUGUCUCUAGCUUUGCUGGAGACUCGCCUUAAAGUAAUUGGCAGCCGGCCUACUGGUUUCGGAGCGCAGCACAAGUCGCACUCUCUAUCAGCAAAGGUCUAGCAUCCAUUAAGCCUUUUUUUCAACUUUUGACCUCGGAUCAGGUAGGGAUACCCGCUGAACUUAAGCAUAUCAAUAGCCGGGAGGAAA
RNAcentral lists this ribosomal RNA (575 nucleotides) under Alternaria alternata. RNAcentral describes it as "eukaryotic LSU rRNA". The stretch from base 198 to 351 matches the Rfam family "5.8S ribosomal RNA". Lineage: Eukaryota; Fungi; Ascomycota; Dothideomycetes; Pleosporales; Pleosporaceae. The record is from RNAcentral.